GCUCUCUGGUUUCUCUUCAGAUCAUAUCAAUCUUUUGCCUUUUACAAAUGAUUUCCAUGGAGAGGAACUUGUGAAUUUCACUACAUAUAGAUACUUAACUCCUAGUCCAGUUAACA
Small nuclear RNA from Rhea pennata, 116 nucleotides. RefSeq annotates it as U5 spliceosomal RNA. NCBI's taxonomy places the organism in Eukaryota, Metazoa, Chordata, Aves, Rheiformes, Rheidae. The record is from RefSeq and is a predicted model, not a curated record. The transcript has a single exon.